AGAGUUGAUCAUGGCUCAGGAUGAACGCUAGCUACAGGCUAACACAUGCAAGUCGAGGGGCAGCAUCAGGUUAGCUUGCUAACCUGGAUGGCGACCGGCGCACGGGUGAGUAACGCGUAUCCAACCUUCCCCCUGCUCAGGGAUAGCCCGGUGAAAACCGGAUUAAGACCUGAUAGUUUCACUAGAUGGCAUCUGACGGUGAAUAAAGGUUUCGGCAAGGGAUGGGGGAUGCGUCUGAUUAGCUUGUUGGCGGGGUAACGGCCCACCAAGGCAACGAUCGGUAGGGGUUCUGAGAGGAAGGUCCCCCACAUUGGAACUGAGACACGGUCCAAACUCCUACGGGAGGCAGCAGUGAGGAAUAUUGGUCAAUGGGCGGAAGCCUGAACCAGCCAAGUAGCGUGCAAGGAUGACGGCCCUAUGGGUUGUAAACUGCUUUUGUAUGGGAAUAAAGUCAGGGACGCGUCCCUGUUUGCAUGUACCAUAAGAAUAAGGACCGGCUAAUUCCGUGCCAGCAGCCGC
This 519-nucleotide ribosomal RNA is filed under the name uncultured bacterium. RNAcentral's name for it is "bacterial SSU rRNA". It matches the Rfam family "Bacterial small subunit ribosomal RNA", at positions 8 to 518 of the family's 1533-position model. The record is from RNAcentral.